GGAGGAAAAGAACUAACAAGGAUUCCCCUAGUAACUGCGAGUGAAGCGGGAAAAGCUCAAAUUUAAAAUCUGGCAGUCACUGGCUGUCCGAGUUGUAAUCUAGAGAAGUGCUACCCGCGCUGGACUGUGUACAAGUCUCCUGGGAUGGAGCAUCGUAGAGGGUGAGAAUCCCGUCUCUGACACAGACUACCAGGGCUUUGUGGUAUGCUCUCAAAGAGUCGAGUUGUUUGGGAAUGCAGCUCAAAAUGGGUGGUAAAUUCCAUCUAAAGCUAAAUAUUGGCGAGAGACCGAUAGCGAACAAGUACCGUGAGGGAAAGAUGAAAAGAACUUUGGAAAGAGAGUUAAACAGUACGUGAAAUUGCUGAAAGGGAAACACUUGAAGUCAGUCACGUUGGCCAGGGAUCAGCCUCACUUCUUUGUGUGGUGUACUUCCUGGCUGAUGGGUCAGCAUCAAUUUUGACUGCUGGAAAAAGGCUUGAGGAAUGUGGCAGCUCUGGCUGUGUUAUAGCUUCUUGUCACAUACAGCGGUUGGGAUUGAGGAACUCAGCACGCCRCAAGGCCGGGUUUCGACCACGUUCGUGCUAAGGAUGCUGGCAUAAUGGCUUUA
This 607-nucleotide ribosomal RNA is filed under the name Mycetosoritis sp. nov symbiont CR8. RNAcentral describes it as "eukaryotic LSU rRNA". It matches the Rfam family "Eukaryotic large subunit ribosomal RNA", at positions 52 to 642 of the family's 3401-position model. Lineage: Eukaryota; Fungi; Basidiomycota; Agaricomycetes; Agaricales; Agaricaceae. The record is from RNAcentral.